GCCGGGUGCCGACUCCUGUAUAGCGACCUGAGACCUCUGGGUUCUGAGAUGGGGUGUCUGGGGUCUUGGUUCAAAGCCGGGGUCUCUGGUUACUGAGCAGCAGC
RNAcentral lists this microRNA precursor (104 nucleotides) under Pteropus vampyrus (large flying fox). RNAcentral describes it as "miRNA (ENSPVAG00000024923.1)". The record is from RNAcentral. Lineage: Eukaryota; Metazoa; Chordata; Mammalia; Chiroptera; Pteropodidae.